Molecule: non-coding RNA, 98 nt
Filed under: Pseudohongiella spirulinae
Lineage: Bacteria; Pseudomonadati; Pseudomonadota; Gammaproteobacteria; Pseudomonadales; Pseudohongiellaceae
Description: Aggregatibacter sRNA 22
Rfam family: Aggregatibacter sRNA 22
Source: Rfam by way of RNAcentral
UCAUGUUCGACAAAACGCAUCGCGUUUUGGACGCCCGCCAGGGCGCUCCGAAGGGGUGAGUAAUCCGCCAAUGCGGAUUGCGAAUCAAUCAUGCCGGG